RNAcentral lists this ribosomal RNA (460 nucleotides) under uncultured bacterium. RNAcentral describes it as "partial 16S ribosomal RNA". It matches the Rfam family "Bacterial small subunit ribosomal RNA", at positions 338 to 795 of the family's 1533-position model. The record is from RNAcentral.
CCUACGGGAGACAGCAGUGAGGAAUAUUGGGCAAUGGACGAGAGUCUGAACCAGCCAAGUAGCGUGAAGGAUGACUGCCCUAUGGGUUGUAAACUUCUUUUAUGUGGGAAUAAAACAGGGUAUACAUACCCUCUAGUCUAUACCAUAUGAAUAAGGAUCGGCUAACUCCGUGCCAGCAGCCGCGGUAAUACGGAGGUUCCGAGCGUUAUCCGGAUUUAUUGGGUUUAAGGGGAGCGUAGGUGGAUUGUUAAGUCAGUUGUGAAAGUUUGCGGCUCAACCGUAAAAUUGCAGUUGAAACUGGCAGUCUUGAGUACAGGAGAGGUGGGCGGAAUUCGUGGUGUAGCGGUGAAAUGCUUAGAUAUAACGAAGAACUCCGAUGGCGAAGGCAGCUUACUGGACUGCAACUGACACUGAGGCUCGAAAGUGUGGGUAUCAAACAGGAUUAGAUACCCUAGUAGUC